This 425-nucleotide ribosomal RNA is filed under the name uncultured bacterium. RNAcentral describes it as "partial 16S ribosomal RNA". It matches the Rfam family "Bacterial small subunit ribosomal RNA", at positions 354 to 796 of the family's 1533-position model. The record is from RNAcentral.
GUGGGGAAUAUUGGACAAUGGGCGCAAGCCUGAUCCAGCCAUGCCGCGUGAGUGAUGAAGGCCUUAGGGUUGUAAAGCUCUUUCAGUGGGGACGAUAAUGACGGUACCCACAGAAGAAGCCCCGGCUAACUUCGUGCCAGCAGCCGCGGUAAUACGAAGGGGGCUAGCGUUGUUCGGAUUUACUGGGCGUAAAGCGCACGUAGUCGGAUCGUUAAGUCGGGGGUGAAAUCCUGGGGCUCAACUCCAGAACUGCCUUCGAUACUGGCGAUCUUGAGUCCGGAAGAGGUGAGUGGAACUCCUAGUGUAGAGGUGGAAUUCGUAGAUAUUAGGAAGACCACCAGUGGCGAAGGCGGCUCACUGGUCCGGUACUGACGCUGAGGUGCGAAAGCGUGGGGAGCAAACAGGAUUAGAUACCCCUGUAGUCC